CAAACCUCUGUCUUCUUGAAGCGCAUACGGACGCCGGGACACCAGCGGAACACCGUGAAAGGACGAGCGCAGAUCUGACGAGAAAUGGAAAGAAUUACGGAAUCAACACAUAUUGUGUAGACCAAGAAUAACAAAGUUAAAUUGGAUUUCAAAUGAGGACACUGGUAAUCACUGAUGCAGCUCCUAAGGACGUCGCCAUCAUCCACAGAUCCCGCGCACUGGCUGCGCACAAUUUGCGCACUACGGGAAAACGAGGUGGCAAAACCUACCGAAUUGCUUCUGUCAGAGACGGAUUCAGGGUGGUACGGUGACAGGACCAUUGGUACAUAACAAGUUCUGGUCUAGCUUGUUGAACAACAUGAAGCCUGAAUGUCAGAUGAGGUCGAAUAUCCUGUGAUUUGUUUUACUGCUCCUGAGCUGAGGGGAAGGAAUGCUACAAAUGUUUUAUUGGAGGUUUGUGUUUCUUAUACCACCAGAGGGCACUAGAGGGCAUGUGUAACUCUUGUGUAUUUUACCAGCUCUGAUGUCCCACUCUAUUACUGUCUCUUAGGUGAUUCUCUUGAGAGCUGUAGACAAUGCCUGUGCACAUACACUUCUCAAUUAAUGGCCUUUAGUAAUAAUGAUCAAAUACUGCCAUAGUUGUGUUAAUAUAGCCACAAUGCUGUGCGACAUGUGUUUGGCAAUGUGUUAAUGUAUGAGGUGUUAAAGAAAGGAAAUACGUAUAUAUGUUUCUGUGAUUACACUCCACUUUCAUUUAUGUCUAAUUGUCCCAACCCUUCAAUCAGUCAUCGGCUAAAACUGCAAAAUGGCUCGGGACAACCAGAGCUGCUGUACUGUCCUCCAUCUUCCAUAAAAUAAGCAUGCAGAUGUAAAAUGUCCUUCUGAGUUUAUGGCCACUGAGUCACGUGCUGUGUAGCAAUGUGGCAGGUGUCCUCGCC
Clupea harengus (Atlantic herring) is the source of this 938-nucleotide long non-coding RNA. RefSeq lists it as uncharacterized. The transcript has 3 exons. The record is from RefSeq and is a predicted model, not a curated record. NCBI's taxonomy places the organism in Eukaryota, Metazoa, Chordata, Actinopteri, Clupeiformes, Clupeidae.